UACGUAGGGGGCAAGCGUUGUCCGGAAUCAUUGGGCGUAAGGCGCGUGUAGGCGGUCCGGUAAGUCCGCUGUGAAAGUCGGGGGCUCAACCCUCGGAUGCCGGUGGAUACUGUCGGGCUAGAGUCCGGAAGAGGCGAGUGGAAUUCCCGGUGUAGCGGUGAGAUGCGCAGAUAUCGGGAGGAACACCUAUGGCGAAGGCAGCUCGCUGGGACGGAACUGACGCUGAGACGCGAAAGCGUGGGGAGCAAACAGG
Molecule: ribosomal RNA, 253 nt
Filed under: uncultured bacterium
Lineage: Bacteria
Description: partial 16S ribosomal RNA
Rfam family: Bacterial small subunit ribosomal RNA
Source: RNAcentral